GUAGGUGGCAAGCGUUGUCCGGAUUUACUGGGCGUAAAGAGCGCGCAGGCGGUCGUUCAAGUCGCGUGUGAAAGCCCCCGGCUCAACUGGGGAGGGUCACGCGAUACUGAUCGACUCGAAGGCAGGAGAGGGUAGUGGAAUUCCCGGUGUAGUGGUGAAAUGCGUAGAUAUCGGGAGGAACACCGGUGGCGAAGGCGGUUCUCUGGGCCUGUACUGACGCUGAGGAACGAAAGCGUGGGGAGCGAACAGG
Molecule: ribosomal RNA, 250 nt
Filed under: uncultured bacterium
Lineage: Bacteria
Description: partial 16S ribosomal RNA
Rfam family: Bacterial small subunit ribosomal RNA
Source: RNAcentral